Non-coding RNA from Struthio camelus australis, 3923 nucleotides. The record is from RefSeq and is a predicted model, not a curated record. NCBI's taxonomy places the organism in Eukaryota, Metazoa, Chordata, Aves, Struthioniformes, Struthionidae.
GCCUGUCAUUGAACAUCCUAUCACUUCUCCUUAUUCUAUUUCAGAAUGAAAAAUGAGCACAAGAUUGCCUUUUCUGCUAAUUGCCUUGUUCUCUACCCACCCACAGCUAUUUCUACCUCUUUACUAAUAUUUGAGUAGCAUUUGGCUUCAAAAUUUCAGGAAUUUUUCAGUCGGACAACUAGCUAUGUCAUAUGGUGUUUUGAUGCAAUAAUUCAAGCUAUUAAGGAUCAUUGGUUUCAUCUGCUCUGUAUAUUUCUGGUUCAUCUUUUAGAACAUAAUUUCCAUUUCAGUUCCAACAAUACUGUAGAGACAAGGGGAUACACAAUGAGCAUCUUGAACUGAACUGAUUGGUGCCUGAAAUUCCUGCCUUUUAUAUAUAUCUGUGACUGUAGCUUCUAAACACAGGAAACUGUCUUUUCACAAUGACAGUUAAUGCUGAUGAGUGGUUAGAAAAUAUCUCUGAUGAUGCAUGUGAUAAUGUUACUUUACAGUAAUUUAUAAUGGGACAAUAGUCCCAUUAACAAGUGAUUCACUUGAGCUACAAGCAUUUAAUCGUAUUUACAACACAAUAGAGUUAUGCUCUUCUUCAAGUAACAAUGUUUGUUGCAAAUCAUUGAGCCAGUAUAUAUGUAUGUUACAAGUUUCCUUUUUAAAGUUUCUAUUUCCAGGUGGCCUUGGAUGUAAAAGGUGCCCCUUUCACAUCUUGUCUAUGCUAUAAUGUUAUCUAUCGCUGUCAACCACAGCUGCAGCCAGCCUGGUACUUCAGUGAUUUUAGAGCAAGUGUGGACAAGAACAAAGCUACAUUCAGUGAUUUUUUUCAGGAUGCCCUGGACAAUAGUCUAAUGACCAACCUUUAUCCUCUGCAGUAGUAGCUAAUGGUUAGCUGCACCUUUGUCUGAAACCCACUCUUCUGUAGAACAGAAAAAUAUAUAAAGCUGAAGUGCUUACUGGGGAAUAUGACAUGCCCUUCCACGUCCUAAAAAAUAGAGUCAUGUGAAUUAGCUAAUGUUACUUUUUUGAAUACUGUUAAUUUCAUUUCUGAAUAAGGUGUCUAUUCUAGGGUCCUUCUCCAUUAAUUCCAGGGGAAAAUCAAAGAGAUCUUGAAGCUUAUGUAAGUUUAAAUCAGAGAAGAGAUAAAAGAUUUGGAAUAAAUAUUCCAAAGCUGCAGUGUUAGAAGGAGAAUAAAAAUUCUUCAUCCUUGAAUGGCUGUAGCUGUGCCAUGGUUGUGAUUCAUUACCAGAACAAGAACAAACACGUUUUUGAAGGCUGCACAUUCCCUGUAACUGAAAUAUAACAAGGCAGAGAACAUUGUGCCUCUACCUCCAAACCAGGAUUAGACUUUAUCUUCAGACUAAGGAUUCUACCACUGGCCGUUUUACUGAUUUGAUUGGUGGAAAAUGUAGAUGGUUUGGAUCACAUACAGUUGGCGUGACUUGUACAGCUUCUUUGACGAUGUUGUUACCACAACUGCCAUAGCACUUUCCUGUGUAGAUAGGCAUGAUUUUACACAGAAAGUAAGAUGUGCCCUAGCAGAAUCGUGGGAAAGAAGUUCUCUAAAUGUACAUGCCUUUAGCUGUGUGAACUAGUGGUGCAAAAGCUACUGCGCUUUUCCAAAAUGUGAGGUGAAGCUCUUCUCACAGUGAAUCCUGCAUUGUUAGGCCACAGACUCAAAUCUGCCAUAAACAGCGGACAACAUCUUCACAAGAAAGAACCACAAUCCUACAGCAAAGCCCAAGGAUAAAUGCAGUCUGUUCAUGGAAGAAAAGCUACCUGGCAAAAGGAUUAUUCUUAAACUAGAUCAUUUCAAUGGCCUCAACCGGCAGAGUGGUGAACUGCAGUGAAACAUGACGACCGGAGGAAGACAGAAAAGACUUCUUAAACAGCUUGCUACAGAAGAGAGCCACAUCUUCAGGCAUACAGCGGUGUCUAUAAGAACUUGCUAAAUACUGCCGGUGUCCUUGCAGCCUUGCUCUCUAGUCUUUAACUAAAUCAGAUGCUAUCAGACUCCUCAUUAAGUUUAGAAAGUCUGUGAAGGGGAGGUAGGAAACUCUUCAGACAGCCUUACCUGACAGUUAGGGAAGUGUUAAUUUUCCUUGUCUUUUGCCUAGCCACAGGUAGGCAUUGUUUGCCAUUAAUUUUAAGCUGCCUGCUAAUACUUAAAUUAAAACUCUUCAGAGACUUUAUUUUUUAGUGCUUGAGAAGUCAUUUGACAGCUCAUGAAGUGGCAGGUGAGUACUGGCAAGAUUGAAGACUAGGUGUUGUCCAAGGGCAAAUGUACUUGGCAAGGAAAUCAAGCAAAUUUGCAACUAAAACAGCUGGUCAUGACAUGCUAUACUUAAAGUAAAUGACACUUAGGGUGGCCCAUUCUAACUAUAUAAGGAGCCAAGUACAAGCUUGCUCUAUGUGCAUUGCCAGACUUUUAUCCGGGGGAGGAGGGGGGUAAUGGGAGGAAGGGUAGAACGAAGAGAUAAAGAUGAUAUGCGGUCUCAGAAUAAAGGGUUUUGAAAGACUGAUGGCCUAGGUUUCAGAUAUUAAGGGCACAUCUGUACUAAUAAAUUGAACAGUAACAGCAAAUGGGAAUGACCCCGGGAACAUUUUUGUCCAUACUGUGACAUUUUAGCAAGGUCCUUGACUUGAACUUGGCUUAGGCCAAAUAGUGUUCUUCCAGAUAAUUCCUAGGCCUGAUCUGGAAGUCAGCAUGCACCAGGAACUAUUUGCAAAAGGCAGUUUGGAUGGACCAUUCAGUUUGGAGGCUAAAAGAGUUUAAUAGUAUGGAUAUAGGUUGUUCUGUGCCAAUGGUCCUCAGGGCAGCUAAUCAGUUCAGACAUGGUUUAUAUUAUUCAUGUAGGAAUAGUGUAAGAGUCUAAAUGGAAUUUGACUUUGAACGGGAAUUUUUAACCUUGGCAUAACAUAAAAAGUGAAAUUUUUAUAUAUGCUUCUACAAUGUGUAUGUACAGGUCUGAGGUAGUCACAAUAGACUCGCUUUUAGUCAAAUGGAGUCACAUUUAAAUGACUUAGAAGACCUAUCCAGUUUUAUAUAAUUUAGAUAGCUAACUAACAGUCUCUGGUUAGCCCCAAACUAUCUGUCUUUGGGCAUCUUCUGGAAUUGGCCAUGAGAUUGCUUGAUUUUCUUUUCCUUAGCAUCCGUUGUAGCCCAGGUCAUAGUAACCUUAAAGGAUAUAUGGUAUAAUGAUAUCCAGAUGAUUGGUUGUAAUCCAUCAGUACUCUUAAAUUGUCUGGGAUCAUAGAAAAACCCUUCCUUCUGACAUAUCUUCCUGAAGUAUAAACCUGGCUCUGAGAGGGAACUGAUGUCAUGUUGAAUUCAGUCAACAAGGGCAAUUGUUUGCCAUUCACGAAGAUAUUCUUGCCUCUCAUCCUCUGUGUUUUCCUUUGUGAUUUUGCUGUGCCUUCUUCAGCCUGUCUUUCCCCAUCUAGGAAGGAUCUUGUAACUGCAGCUUCAGCCUGGCAUUGUCAUGCUCAGAUGUGGGCCUGCCUCAUCCCUGGUAUCUCUGAAUCCCCUCUCCAGCUUGGCAUCUUUCACUGAACACUUCUCAUGACUGUUAUUUGUGUUGACUAGUGAUGACAGCCUCUUCUCUGUCACUUCGCUUCCUCUUUUAUCUAGGCUCCAGAUUGAUUUUGGACAUAGGCCAGUGACAGAGCUAAAAACAAAAGAUGCUUCAUAAAUUUCUGUGCCUAUUUACACUUAUAUAUAAUUCAGCUCCCCCACUGGGUCAGUGGAACUGGCAGUGAUAUGUUAGCAGGAAGCAACACAGGUUGACUUGCUGUCAAGGCAGUCAUAAGGGUGAGUUUACAGAGCUUGGAACUGUGAGGAAAACAUCUUUUUACUUGACACUUAAGUAAAGCUGAGCUGGAGUAGCUGAGACAUAAUGAACAUAGAACCUCUGCAAGAUGCCAUUUUUAGA